AUGCUGAUCAUUUUUUACUUCGUGUUCAUUGUCGUAGUUGGACGAAAAAAAUCAAACAUCACUGCCAUCGUCCAACACCCUCUACCUGAUCGAGUUCAUCCAGGAAACCCAGUCUCUCUACAAUGUUCAGUCCUCUUUAACUCUCAAGAUAAAACCUGUUCAACAGAUCAUAGGGUGUUCUGGUUCCUAGCUGGAUCAGAUCGAUCUCAUCCCAGUUUCAUUUAUGCUCCUGCAAACCACGGUAAUGAAUGUAGGAACAAUUCUGAGGAUCAUUCUGGGCGAAAAUGUAUCUAUAGCUUCUCGAAGAACAUCACUGCUUCUGAUGUUGGGACUUACUACUGUGCUGUGGCCUCAUGUGGAGAGAUUUUGUUUGGAAAUGGAACCAAACUGGUCGCAGAAGGUACCGUAAAUCCAAAGCUUUAA
This is a non-coding RNA of Poecilia reticulata (guppy), 423 nucleotides long. The record is from the annotation of a RefSeq genome assembly. Lineage: Eukaryota; Metazoa; Chordata; Actinopteri; Cyprinodontiformes; Poeciliidae.